Neofelis nebulosa (Clouded leopard) is the source of this 5976-nucleotide long non-coding RNA. RefSeq lists it as uncharacterized. NCBI's taxonomy places the organism in Eukaryota, Metazoa, Chordata, Mammalia, Carnivora, Felidae. The record is from RefSeq and is a predicted model, not a curated record. The transcript has 2 exons.
AAGGCAAAAAGAAAGGAGAGAAUCCCAAGCAAGCUUCGCGCUGUCAGCCCAGGGCCCUAUGAAUCAAACCGCGAGAUCAUGACCUGAGUCAAAAUCAAGAGUUGGACACUUAAACCAACUGAGCCACCCAGGUGGCCCAGAAUUCAGAUGAGUUUUACAUAAAUGUUACCUUUAUAUUCACCAGGACUACCUGUAUGACCUUGAGCAAAUUAUUUAAUUUUUCUGUACUUGUUUUCUCAUCUGUAAAACAAGAGGUAAAAAUAACCCCUAACUCAUAGGUUCAUUGUGAAGAUUACAUGAGUUGAUACACAUAGGAUGACUGGCACCAUAAUAAUAAUUAGGUGGCACUGAGCUGCCAGCUACUGAAGUCCCAGAAGUUGAAGGAGAGGUGUGGGUUCCGGUUAUAAAAUGAAAGCCCCGAAGAAGACCAGAAAGGGAGGUUGUACUUUUGUUCUGUUUAGUUUGGUGGAUAUUUGUAUUACUAGAUGCUGAUAGCUACUAAAAUGAACAGAAAAGGCAGAGAGGAUUAUUUUUCAGCCCUUACAAGCCUUCUAAAAAGUUGUCUCUAACUUCCUGAGUCAUCAAAUACCAUGCACUGUCUUUUCUUGACAACCUUGUUAUUUUUUCCACUAUUCCCUUAGGGGACGUUGGGCAAAUCAUGUCACUUUCCAGAGCCUCACUUGCAAUUCUGUCAAACAAGGACAAACAAGUGAGAAUCAAGCAAAAUAAGGUAUAUGGGAGUCCUUUGAAAAUGAGAAACAUUGUAUGAAUGUUAUGGAGGAAGACAUUUUAUGAUUUAUUAAAUACACAAGCACAAACAUCUCUUUAAGGUUGGAAAUGCUCCCAUAGGAGGCAUUAAAGCCUCGAGAGAGACAAGACCUAUGGAGAUAGUCAAAAGGAUGAAGACUAUGUAUCGUGAAGGCAGAUAGACCAGAAGGCUGGAGAGUGACUUAACAACAGUGCUUACCUACAGAAAAGGUUAGACAGGAUUAUGGUCAACUCUUUCCAUCUUCACUGAUGACAGAAUACAAGAAAAUGGGCGUCAACAAGAGGGAUUUAGAUUAGCCAUAAAGACUUUUUCUCUGCUGGUGAGGAUUUUCAAAGAUUGAAUGCCUGGCUCAAUCUGCUUGGGGUUUCUUCCCCGAAGGUCCAUAGAUUUGGUAUGCAGUAAGGACAUGAGAAUCAGCACUCAGGGGGCAGAUCAGAGGUUUUCUAGGACUGAGGAGCUCCGCGUGGGAAAGGAAAGGGAACCAACCUCCCAUUCCCAAAAAGAUCCCCUAUGUUCCCAAACUGCCAUGUCCACAUCCACACUUUUCUUGAACAAACUUAAAUUUUGAGAUUUGUCAAUUUACUGAUUCAUGGCCAUCCUCUAUCUAAAUUAGCAUUCUUGCUUAUUAAAGGAUUGUUGCAUUUACAGGUUAGGGGCACAGACAUGGAAGUGGAAAAUUCUAUGUUCCCAUCCUGAUUUUGCCCCCUUCCAGUUGUGCUGCCCUGGUUAAUUAGUUGAUUGCUUUACAUUGAUUUCCUUAUCUGUAAAAUGGAGAUAAUAAAGGUUCUUACCUUAAGGGGACUGUCAGCAUACUUGGCACAGAGCAAAUGCCCCAAAGUGGUGGCCAAUAUUAUGCUAAAGCGACCUUGACAUAGUUUCAAAGAGGUGCCUCUUAGAUCUUGCACUUGGAGAUUUGUUUGUUCUAUUAGCUCAGCGUUUUAGACUCACCCACUUUCUAGUCUGCAGUGUCUUCUUUUUUAUCUAAAAAAAAAAUGUAUUCUCACUAGAAAAUACAUCUCUUUCCCUGUUUACUCUAGUUGCAAUUCUCUGAACUUUCUCAAACUCCAUUACAUCUGCCUUGAAGGGAAGUGACCUGGAAUUGUCCAAGCGAUGUCCUCCCCAAAGACAGAAGGAUGGAUUGAAUAAUUUAUUAAGAAAACAAUUCUGCUUUCCCUGUGGUAGUAAGACCUCUACCUGAGAAGACCUAGGACUGAGAAAUCUGCUCUGCCUGGCCUGCUGACUUCCAAAUCAACCUCUCCUGCCCAGACACAUGAGCCAAGACUACUUCUGUAUUUCUGAGCAUCUUCAACUCCCUUCCAUUUAUCAAUCUUCCCUGUCUGCACCUGCCACUCAAAGCCUGCUAAAUGGGAAUUGGAGAAUCUGCUUCCCAGACCCUUCACCUCCUCCAAUUUCACAUCCAAAUAGACUCCCUUCUUAACUUCCCCACUGGUAAUUAAGACCAGAUUCAACCUGCAAAUUAAGGCCCUCCAUUCACCAAGUCCUGUUGAUUUUACAUCCUACCUGCCUUCUGUGCAAUUGGAAUAAUAGCCGUACUCCCUUCCCUGUGUUGUGGAGAUCAGAUAAGGCUACCUUUAGGCAGCAGCCAGAAGAGGCCACCCCUGUGCCAGAAUCACGCCUCUCCCAGCAGCCAUCCAGGGGGAUCCCAGAACACGUAUAGCUCCUGUCAAGAUCCCUCAGUCCCUCCCAAUCUGCCAUGUGAACAUCAGGGCUGACCUCACCAUGUCCCCUAUCCUCACUGAUGUCCCUCCCCAUGAGACCCCCAGGUGACCUCUCAUCCCUGGGAGUCUAAUGCCCACCCUAUUUCCUGACCUCAUCUGGCAUUCCUCCCUAUCUCCGGCCCUCUGGAACUUGGGUCAGUCAUCGGCAGAAUCUUCCUUUCAUUCUAUCUCCUCGGAGUAUUCCUUUCACCUCCCUAACUGAAACUUGGCUCUGUCCCCUAGGGACACUGCUUCCCCUGCAGCCUCUGCAGUGGUGGUUGGAUCUCUUCCAUGGGGCUGGAGGUGGGAUGGAGCUCUUUUUGCUCCUUGUUGCUACCUCUAGACCAGGCUCCAGUCAUUGUUACCACAUUUUGAUUAUUUUGAUAUCUGUCUCACCUUCACUUUCCCCAGAAUCAUCCCGUCUUGAGUCUUGCCAUCUCAAAGGACACACAGAUCAGCUUUCCAACACGCUGAUUUCUCCUCCAAUAACCCUGUCCUCCACCUACCGGACCUCCAUUGCUCACCCCCACGGCCUUACCUUAGACAAGCACUGGCCAAAGGAACUUCGGGAGCUCAUGAUGGAAAUGUUUAAUCUACUCUGUCCUGUUGGCAUACCCUUAGUCACAAGUGGUUGGUUGCUAAACACCUGAAAUGUGACUAGUGCAACAGAAGGAAACAGGUUAUAAAUUUUAUUUAAUGUUUAACUAAUUUAAAUGUGAAGCAUCUAUCUAUGCUUGUAUUCUCCUAGUGCUGUCCUGCUUCUAUAGCUGAACUUAGCUCUAUGUUAAGAUCAACUCACUUCCAGCGUCUUAGAGCCCACCCCUCUCACUACUAAAUUCUCCCCCCUUUCUUCAUCAGUUUCUCGGUCUCCACAAGGUCAUUUCCAUCAGCCUACACACAUGCUGUUGUCUCUCCUGUCUUAAGAAAAACCUCCCUUGACCCCAGCUCCCCAUCUUGCACUGCUGUAUUCCCCUCAUUCUCUAAAGCAAAACUCCCAGAGAGAAUGGUCUACACUCACAGAAUCAACUUCUCUCCUCCUAUUAUUGCUUGAAUCUCCACUCAGAAACUGCUCUUGACAUAGUACUCAUGACCCCGUAUUGAUAAAUCCAUUAAUUAUUUCCCAACCCUCAUCUAACUUGAUCUAUCAGCAGCAUUGUACGGCUUCUUGACUCUCUUCUCCUUGGAACACUUUCUUCACUUGGCUUUCAGGACAGCACGCUUGCCUGGUCUUUCUCCCGCCUUUCCGGCUGCUCCAUCUUUCUGUCCUGUAAUAGCUUCUUCUUCUUCUUCUUCAAUUCUACAACCUCUGAAUGUCAGCAGGCCCAGUGGUUAGUCCUGGGACCCUUUCAUUUUUCUACCUAUUCGCUCCUUAGCCGAUCUCACCCAGUCUCAUGGCUUUAAACAUCACCUACAUGCUGAUCAUUCCUGCAUUUUUAUAUCUCCAAUGCAGACCACUCCUCUGAAGUCCAGCCCAAAUUAUCCAGCUGCCAACUUGACAUCUCUAAUCUAACAGGUCCCAAACUGAACUCCCAAUGUCUACCUCCCUGCAAAAAUAGCUUGCUCCUCCCACAAUCUUCUCCAUGUCAGUUAAGGCCAAUUCCAUUUUUUUUCCAGCUGCUCAGCCAAAACCAUUAGAAAUACCCUUGGUGUCUCUCUCUCAAUCGUGUACAUACACACACACACACACACACACACACACACACACUAUAUCUGAUCCAUUAGCAAAUUUUAUAGACUUUGUGUAUCUUCAACUGUAAUCGGAAACUGAUCACUUCUCAUCACCUGCAUUGCAACCACUGUGUUUGGAGCCACCAUCGUCUCUCUCCUGGAUUACAGCACUAGUGGUUUCUCUGAUCCUGCCCUUGUUUCUGCAAUCUAGUCUCAAAAAUCAGAAAAAAUUCAAGUUACAUCAUGUCACUCUUCUGCUCAGCAUGUUCCAGUGACAGUCACUUGGAGUAAAAACCAAAGUUCUUAUCAUGGCUUUCAAGGUCCCAUGAGACUGGGACCCUAUUAUUGCUUUUACCACUUUCGUAAUUUCUCUUCCCCUCCUUCACCUGAGACUGGCCAAACCAACCUUCCCACUGCUACUGGAACUUAUCACGUAUGCUCCUGCCUCCGGGACUUUGCACCUGCUAUUCUCUCUGCAUGGAAGACUCUUCCCUAGAUGCCUUUGUGGCUAGGUCCCUCAUUCCUUUAGGUCUAUUCAAAUCUCACCUUUUAUUGAGGUCUUUAUGGACUCUGCUAUCUAAGAUUUUUACACCCCUCCUCAACACUGCAUUUUCCCUUUUCCUGCAUUAUUUUUUCCCUUUAGCUCUUAGCACUAUCUAACUAACUAAAUUUUUUAAUUUAGCUUUUUUAUUGUCUGUCUCCCCAAGUAGAAUAUAAGCUCUAUGAGGGCAAGGAUUUUUGUUGGUUUUAUUCACUGCUAUCUCUGGAUCUGUGUCUGUGAUAUAGCAGAAACUCAGCUAUUUAUUGAACGAAUUAAUAAAAUAAUUCCCAUCACUUCCUUAGAACAGUGCCUAGCAUAUAGUAAUUGUUUUAUGAAUCUCAGUUGGUAUUUUUUUAUUUCUUUUACUAUCAUCUUCUCCAUCACUACUCGAUUGGGGCGUCCUUCCAUCCCUGCAGCAGUUUGCAAGCUUCAGACUCUCGCCCUCUCCGGCCUUGACUAUCUCUCUGGUCUCAUAAGUUGUCUUCUAGCCGCUGGUCUUGCCUCGUGGAGACCUACCCACUGCUUCCAUAGUUUGCUUCUCGAAAACAAAUUUGAUUCUUUCAUUCCUCCUAUGGUCUCUGAAAGCUCAGUUCUCACUGUUUCCAUGAAGCCUUGCUGUCCACUCCAAAAAACACCGGGUCCCCUUCUCAACUCCAAUGGCACUCACUGUUGAUGCCAAGCAAAUUCAACACUUGUCAGUAUACUGAGCUAUCAUUUCAAUUCAAUCUGCUGGGCUAUAAUAUAGUGCGCUGUUAUUUAGUAGUUUCAUGAGGAUUCAUUGUUUCUCCUCAAUUCAUUUCUACUCCCCAGAACAAUGUAAUACUGCUUUUGUAUAGUGCUUUAGCAACAAAGAAUUGGGCUAGAAAGAGUAUUGUAUGAGCCCCUAUGUCUCCAUCCACAGCAUGGAAGGCUUAAUAAAGAGUAGGUUCAUCCUGUUACACGCUAGCUGAAUUUUCAGUACUUACAGCCCACAUAACAGACAGCACAGAGGCUUCAGGGCCAGACUAGUUCUGUCGCUUUAUGACCCGAAUGAGAGACUUGUUUAUGGAGCCUAUUGCUUCACUUGCGCAAAUCGAGAAAAUACCUAAAACACAUGGGUAUGUGAGCAUUAAAAGUACUCAUAAGUAGGGGCACCUCGCUGGCUCAGUUGGUAAACCAUUGAACUCUUGAUCUCAGGGUUGUGAGUUCAAAUCCCACGUUGGGUGUAGAGAUUACUUAAAAAUAAAAUCGUUUUUUUUUUUUAAAGUACUCAUAAAUAAAGCCCAAAGUACUCAACAUGA